This 301-nucleotide ribosomal RNA is filed under the name uncultured bacterium. RNAcentral describes it as "partial 16S ribosomal RNA". It matches the Rfam family "Bacterial small subunit ribosomal RNA", at positions 509 to 809 of the family's 1533-position model. The record is from RNAcentral.
CAGUAGCCACGGGAAUACAGAGGGUGCGAGCGUUAAUCGGAUUUACUGGGCGUAAAGCGUGCGUAGGCGGCUUUUUAAGUCGGAUGUGAAAUCCCUGAGCUUAACUUAGGAAUUGCAUUCGAUACUGGGAAGCUAGAGUAUGGGAGAGGAUGGUAGAAUUCCAGGUGUAGCGGUGAAAUGCGUAGAGAUCUGGAGGAAUACCGAUGGCGAAGGCAGCCAUCUGGCCUAAUACUGACGCUGAGGUACGAAAGCAUGGGGAGCAAACAGGAUUAGAUACCCGGGUAGUCCCUGUCUCUUAUAU